Non-coding RNA from Momordica charantia (bitter melon), 557 nucleotides. The record is from RefSeq and is a predicted model, not a curated record. NCBI's taxonomy places the organism in Eukaryota, Viridiplantae, Streptophyta, Magnoliopsida, Cucurbitales, Cucurbitaceae.
AUCAAAGGAAAUCAAAACCAUUAAAGGGUUGGAAAAGAUGAGAUCGUGUGACUUUGAACUAAAGUUGCAAGGAAGCCUGUUUUCAUUAUUGCGCAAUGUAGAAAGAUAUUCAAAGAACGGACCACCUUUCAAUGCCAAAUAUGAUCUUCCAGGAGCCACGCUCUGAAUUACAUUGAAGAGGCGUGAUUUCGUAUUCCUGCACAGAAGACGUUCAGGAUGGUUGUGAGAAAAAGAAAAACCAGCUCACGGAGAUCAGGUGUGAGAAGAUUUGCUUCAACAGGGAUUAUGAAAACUGAAUCAGCAAGCUAUAUUGUCAGUUAAUUAAAGAAUGCUGAUUCUGAUUUGGCAAAAUUGAAAAGUAUUUUUAUGUUAAAUCACCGUUACCAUUUACAGGUUUUUUGUAUGAUACUUCGUUCAGUCAUCUUAGGUACUUGCUUCAUUAGUCAAAUAGGAUUCUAAGUUUCUCGUGCUAAUUAGGUCGUUUAGGUCAGCAUAAUACUGCAGCUUGUAUCCCAUAUUUUUCAGUGAGACCAAUAUCGAAAUCUUCAUUAGUAUCA